UACAGAGGGUGCGGGCGUUAAUCGGAAUUACUGGGCGUAAAGCGCGCGUAGGCGGCUUUGCAAGUCGGGUGUGAAAUCCCCAGGCUUAACCUGGGAACUGCAUUCGAGACUGCAUUGCUAGAGUAUGGGAGAGGGAAGUGGAAUUUCCGGUGUAGCGGUGAAAUGCGUAGAUAUCAGAAGGAACAUCAGUGGCGAAGGCAGCGCUCUGGGCCGGUACUGACGCUGAGGAGCGAAAGCGUGGGGAGCAAACAGG
This 253-nucleotide ribosomal RNA is filed under the name uncultured bacterium. Its description in RNAcentral is "partial 16S ribosomal RNA". It matches the Rfam family "Bacterial small subunit ribosomal RNA", at positions 524 to 776 of the family's 1533-position model. The record is from RNAcentral.